AAUAAGCUAUUAGGUGAAUGACUUGGCUUAACCGCUGACGAAGGGCGUGGCAAGCUGCGAUAAGCUGCGGCAAGGUGCAUGCGACCAUUGAACCGCAGAUGCCCGAAUCAGAAUCUGAAUCCUUCGGGAUUGUUCCGCGAGGAACGGGAACGCAGGGAAUUGAAACAUCUUAGUACCUGCAGGAAAAGAAAUCAAUCGAGAUGUGGUGAGUAACAGCGAGCGAAAUCCACACAAGGCAAACUGAAUCCUGCGCAGCAAUGCGCUGGAGAUGUGGUGUUGCAGGACUCUUUUUUAACAACCAAUUUAGACGGGAAGUGAACUGGAAAGUUUUGCCGAAGAGGGUGAAAGCCCCGUACUGGAAUGAAUUGGCUGUGUAAGAGUAUCCUGAGUACCGGACAUCGGAUUUUGUCCGGGAAACUCCGAGUAAUCAACUUGGAACCUUAAAUACGUGUUAAGACCGAUAGUGUACAAGUACCGCGAGGGAAAGUUGAAAAGAACCCAUGACUGGGUGUGAAAAGCAUCUGAAACCUAAUAGUUAUAGUUUGUUGCGGCCCUUCGGGGUUGCAACGUACGUUUCGAAUAACGUGCCAGGGAGUGCAUUUGAGCAGCAAGGUUAACCGAAAGGGGAGCCGAAGCGAAAGCGACGAGCCCGCAAGCAAUGAGGGGCGAGGUAUGAAAGUGCCUGGAGUUGCUUGAAUGCAACCCGAAACCGUGUGAUCUAGCCCUGGGCAAGGUGAAGCGUGGGUAAAACCGCGUGGAGGCCUGCAGAGGUUCUGUGGACAAGCGUUCUUCUGACUUGGGGCUAGGGGUAAAAAGCCCAUCGAACACGGUGAUAGCUGGUUCCUUCCGAAAUAGGCGGUAGUCUAGUCUGCGCAGAGUAUGCUAUGACUGUAGAGACACGGAUCAGGGUUUUAGGCUCCGAAAGGAGUCAGACCCUUGUCCAACUCCAAAUAUUAUAGCUACAUAGAAGCGUGGAAACGGGUCAUCCGGGGUAAGCUCGGUGAGCGUGAGGGGAACAUCCCAGACCACAGUUAAGGUCCCUAAAUAUUGAUUAAGUGUUAACGGUUAAAAGGUGUUUACGGCCAAAGACAGCGAGGAGGUUGGCUUAGAAGCAGCCACCCUUUAAAAAGUGCGUAACAGCUUACUUGUCAAGGUCGUAAGCCCUUAAAAUGGACGGGGCUAAAUCAAUUACCGAUACUGCGGAGCUCGAAAGAGUAUGGUAGGAAGGCGCCUUAUGAGGGCAGAACUUAAUCCGAGAGGAAAAAGGGACCUCAUUGGGAUGAAGAUCCUGGCGGUAGUAGGAUCAUAGAGGAGUGAGAACCUCCUCCGCCGAAAGGGCAAGGGUUCCUCGGCAAUGUCUGUCAGCCGAGGGUUAGUCGAUCCUAAGCACACUCCUAAUUGGACGUGCGCGAAAGGGAAUCCGGUUAAUAUUCCGGAACUAUUUUUGUAUGUGCGGCAACGCAAGCCUUGAAUAUGACACUUCCGGAUACAUAAGCGCAUCUUCUCAGGUGCGUAAAUUGGCAUAGGCCUGUGGAGUCUUGUAACGAGGAGAAGCAGGGCAAAGCCGAAAUUAGUUCCCAGCAAUGGGAAUCUUGUGAAGUCCAGGAGUCCUUGAAAAGUAGUCAGGGAAAAAUCAGAAAUAUUCGUACCCAGAACCGGCACAGGUGCCCCUAGGUGAGUAGCCUCAGGUGUGUAGGUGAUAAUCCAGCCCAGGGAAGUCGGCAAAUUAGCCCCGUACCUUCGGUAUAAGGGGUCCCUGGAUUAGUCGCAAGGCUUUUUCAGGGCGCAGUGACUAAGAGGAUCCGACUGUUUAACAAAAACUUAGCUUACCGCGAAGCUGCAAAGCAGUGUAUGGUAGGCGACGCCUGCCCAGUGCCAGUAAUUCAAACUCCUUUCCAAGGGAGCUAAGAUCUGGUAAACGGCGGGAGUAACUAUAACUCUCUUAAGGUGAAAUUUCUUUGCCUUAAACAAAUCGGACCAUUUGCUGGAACGUCUCGGAGAAACUUCGUAGCAAAUUAUUUUGGCGACAGAAUAAUUAUCUAAAAAUCGAAGCGGAGAGAUAAUCAGCAGGAAAGAACUCUUAUGAAAUGUGAGGUGGCUAAAAUUUGCUAGUACUUCAUGGCAAAGCCAUGUUGUAUUUUGUCAAUUAUGCCAUCUCGACCCUUCAUGAGCGAAAUACCUUGUCGUUUGAUUGACGACGUGCAUGAAUGGCGUAACGAGAUCCUCACUGUCCCGGGUUGGAAGCCUCCGAACACAAACUCCUGGUGCAGAGACCAGGGAUCUCCAGUGGGAAGCGAAGACCCCGUGAAACUUUACUGUAGCUUGUAGCUGCGGUGUGGAACGGACUGUGUAGCGUAGCUAGUAGACGUCAAAGCCAGGUCGCUAGAUUUGGUGUAGUCGACAAUGAAACACUAGUCUGUCUGUUCUACGUCGCUAACGUCGCAAGACGAACAACUGCAGGUGGACAGUUUGGCUGGGGUGGCACGCUGUUGAAAAGAUAUCAAUAGCGCUCAAAGGUUGGCUCAGGCGGGUCGGAAAUCCGCCGUUGAGUGCAAAGGCAUAAGCCAGCCUGACUGGAAGUGCGAUAAGACCACAUCCAGAGACGAAAGUCGGACUUAGCGAACCUCAGAACCUCAUUGAUGGAAGUCUGAGAUGACCGAAAAGUUACUCCGGGGAUAACAGAGUCGUCUCGCCCGAGAGCUCAUAUCGACGGCGAGGCUUGCUACAUCGAUGUCGGCUCGUCCUAUCCUGGCCGUGCAGAAAUGAUGAAAACUGUCAAAGGUUUUCAGCGUGGCGCAAUUUAUUGCGUGCAUGUUCGGCUGAGAAUAAGAUGGAACGAAUUGAUCGUGGUCUUUUGCUUCAUAUAAUCGAAAGACUCAUGAUUCACUGAGUCCAUUCUCCACUUAGCUGCCACUGUUGGCGGCCAAGGGUGGGGGUGUUCACCCAUUAAAAGGGCUCGUGAGCUGGGUUCACAACGUUGUGAGACAGUUGGUUUGAUAUCUACUGGAGAUGCUGAAUGACUGAGAGGAAGGAAGAUCUAGUACGAGAGGAACGAUCUUUCGACGCCACUGGUGGAUCGGCUGUCCGAGCGGGCAAGCCGAGCAGCUACGCGUUAUGCUGAUAAGCUCUGAAAGCAUCUAAGAGCGAAGCGGCCCCCGAAAAGAGUCAUUCUGGGCGGCAGUAAAAGACUGCGUUGAUAGAGCUGGGGUGUAAGCACGAAGGUAACGACGUGUUCAGCCCGCAGCAACUAAUAGCCCGUACCUCUCUUUC
RNAcentral lists this ribosomal RNA (3270 nucleotides) under uncultured archaeon. RNAcentral describes it as "bacterial LSU rRNA". It matches the Rfam family "Archaeal large subunit ribosomal RNA". The record is from RNAcentral.